UACAGAGGGUGCGAGCGUUAAUCGGAGUUACUGGGCGUAAAGGGCGCGUAGGCGGUAGGAUGUGAGUGGUGUGAAAGCCCUGGGCUUAACCUAGGAAGCGCAUCGCAGACUAUCUUACUGGAGUAGAUGAGAGGGUGAUGGAAUUUCCGGUGUAGCGGUGAAAUGCGUAGAGAUCGGAAGGAACGUCGAUGGCGAAGGCAGUCACCUGGCAUCAUACUGACGCUGAAGCGCGAAAGCGUGGGGAUCGAACAGG
Molecule: ribosomal RNA, 253 nt
Filed under: uncultured Aquicella sp.
Lineage: Bacteria; Pseudomonadati; Pseudomonadota; Gammaproteobacteria; Legionellales; Coxiellaceae
Description: partial 16S ribosomal RNA
Rfam family: Bacterial small subunit ribosomal RNA
Source: RNAcentral